This 253-nucleotide ribosomal RNA is filed under the name uncultured bacterium. RNAcentral describes it as "partial 16S ribosomal RNA". It matches the Rfam family "Bacterial small subunit ribosomal RNA", at positions 524 to 776 of the family's 1533-position model. The record is from RNAcentral.
UACGGAGGGUGCAAGCGUUAUCCGGAUUCACUGGGUUUAGAGGGUGCGUAGGUGGGUUGGUAAGUCAGUGGUGAAAUCCCCGAGCUUAACUUGGGAACUGCCAUUGAUACUAUCAGUCUUGAAUAUUGUGGAGGUUAGCGGAAUAUGUCAUGUAGCGGUGAAAUGCUUAGAUAUGACAUAGAACACCAAUUGCGAAGGCAGCUGGCUACACAUAUAUUGACACUGAGGCACGAAAGCGUGGGGAUCAAACAGG